Molecule: long non-coding RNA, 542 nt
Filed under: Capsicum annuum
Lineage: Eukaryota; Viridiplantae; Streptophyta; Magnoliopsida; Solanales; Solanaceae
Description: long non-coding RNA (CANN_LNC010118)
Source: RNAcentral
CUCUCUCUAUUGUACUUGAUACAUCUCAUUUUUAUUUUUAUCUCAUCGGAUCUCUCUCCCCAUUAUUCUCAGAUCUCCCAAGUUUUGAUCAUUUUUCCACUGUAUCUCUACCUUUCUCUUAGUUUCUCCUUUUUUCUUUCAUUUUCUAUCGUUGAAAAAGUAUUUUUUACGACGACAAAAAAUUUCAUCAUUGUGGCUCCCACCAUCCAGCCACCACCAAACCGGUCGUCUACUCCCUCUUCUCCGUUUUCUUCACUCCACUCUUAUCUCAUUCCCUCCACCUCUAUGUCUCUCCAUCUACGUUUAUCUCUAAUAAAAAAGUUCAUCGGUGAACCACUAUAAAAAUGAAAACCUCCUAAUCCUUCAUCUUUUCUGAUGAAAGAUAGAGAAUUUCAACAAUACAGAUGGAGAUCUGGCUAGAUCUGAUUGUUAAUAUUUCCUUCCUCUGUUUGGAAAAUGCCACAAAAUCUAUGUAUCAGUGAACCACCAUUAAAAUGAAAACCUCUCAAAGUUUUAUCUUUUUGGAGAUUUUUGAUGAUGCG